Molecule: ribosomal RNA, 251 nt
Filed under: uncultured bacterium
Lineage: Bacteria
Description: partial 16S ribosomal RNA
Rfam family: Bacterial small subunit ribosomal RNA
Source: RNAcentral
AACGGCCCCCACGGGUGGGGGUGUGAAGGUAUAGGAGGAAUAAGGGUCGGCUAACUCCGUGCCAGCAACCGCGGUAAUACGGAGGAUCCGAGCGUUAUCUUGAAAUGGGAGGAUUAAAGGGUGCGUAGGCUGUUCGCUAAGUCAGCGGUGAAAUGGCCCGGCUCCACCGUGCAGCUGCCGUUGAAACUGGCGGGCUUGAGUGGGUUCGAGGCAGGCGGAAUGCGCGGUGUAGCGGUGAAAUGCAUAGAUAU